AGAGGGUGCGAGCGUUGUCCGGAAUCACUGGGCGUAAAGGGCGCGUAGGCGGUCCGCUAAGCGUGUGGUGAAAGCUCGGGGCUCAACCCCGAGCCGGCCGUGCGAACUGGUGGACUGGAGCAUGUCAGAGGCAGGCGGAAUUCCGGGUGUAGCGGUGGAAUGCGUAGAGAUCCGGAAGAACACCGGUGGCGAAGGCGGCCUGCUGGGACAUUGCUGACGCUGAGGCGCGACAGCGUGGGGAGCAAACAGGAUUAGAUACCCUGGUAGUCCACGCCGUAAACGAUGGGCACUAGGUGCUUGGGGGAGCGACCCCCUGAGUGCCGGCGCUAACGCAUUAAGUGCCCCGCCUGGGGAGUACGGCCGCAAGGCUG
This 371-nucleotide ribosomal RNA is filed under the name uncultured bacterium. RNAcentral's name for it is "bacterial SSU rRNA". It matches the Rfam family "Bacterial small subunit ribosomal RNA", at positions 527 to 896 of the family's 1533-position model. The record is from RNAcentral.